GGAAGCCUUGGGGCCACUGAAGCUUCCUCUGGGCCUCACCCCAGCCUCUGCUGCAGCAGACUGGAGGGCGAGGCAGAGGGGAUUACGUCUCCCUGGAGACGGUCAGAGUCAGAUGCAGGCUGACCCAGCGCAAAGGCAGCUCUCCCAAGGCAGCUCCGUGGGGUCACUGCAGCUGAUGAGUCAGCAGUUGGUCGGGGGGUUGCCACCCGGCCUGCAAGUGCACCUCCUGCAAGUGCAGGAGGUGAGCCGGGAGGACGGAGGUAAGCCCGUCAUGGGUGAAAAAUAGGAAUCUAAAUGAAUUCUUCUACAUAUAGACAUCCAGUUUUCCCAGCACCACUUAUUAAAAAGGAUAUCUUCUCCUGCUGGACCUUUGUCAAGUAUCAGAUGGCUGUGUAAAUUGUGGUUUGUCUUCUAUUCUAUUCCAUUGGUCUUCCUGUCUAUUUUAAGGUCAAAACCAUGCUGGUUUUGCCAUUGUAUCUCUGUAGUUGAAUUUGAGAUGCCUCCUGUAUCACUUUUCUUAUUCAGAAUUGCUUUGGCCGUUCGAGGUCUCUGACUCUUUCUAGUUCUAAGAAGAAUAUCCUUGGCAUUUUGAUGGGGUUGCACUGAAUAUGUACACUGCUUUGGAAGUAUGGCAAAUCUUGACAAUAUUAAUUCCGCCUAUCCAAGAACAUGAGAGGUCCUUCCAUCUUCUGAGAUACUCUUGAAUUUCUUUCUUCAGUCUUCUGUAGUUUUCGUUGAAGAGAAAAAGAUGAGAUCUUGACCUGUCAUCAAGAUUAUCUAAGAGGUUGUAACAACUGAUAAAAAAAAAAGUCACUAGACUAAUUUUUGUGAUCAGCUGAAUAGAGCAGCAAACCUUCAAAUUUCCUCGAUAUAAAUCAUAUUAUCUCCUGUUGCUUAAAGAAAGAAAGAAAGAAAGAAAAGAAAAAAGAAACAGCCCAACAAAUACAUAGUCCUGUCCUUGGUCCUCAAAGUGUGUUCCCUUCCUCCAGAGCAUCAGUAUUACCUGGAAGACGGAUGGAAACGCACCAUCUGGGGACCUACUCAGACCUGCUAACUUAGUUCCAAGUGACUCCUAUGCACAUUAGAGUUGAAGAAGCACUGUUCAAUGCUACAACUUAAAAAGAGGAAAGAGAGUUAAAAAAAAAAAAAAAAAGCCC
Long non-coding RNA from Ictidomys tridecemlineatus (thirteen-lined ground squirrel), 1157 nucleotides. RefSeq lists it as uncharacterized. Lineage: Eukaryota; Metazoa; Chordata; Mammalia; Rodentia; Sciuridae. The record is from RefSeq and is a predicted model, not a curated record.